This is a long non-coding RNA of Esox lucius (northern pike), 812 nucleotides long. RefSeq lists it as uncharacterized. The transcript is spliced from 3 exons. Lineage: Eukaryota; Metazoa; Chordata; Actinopteri; Esociformes; Esocidae. The record is from RefSeq and is a predicted model, not a curated record.
CUGUGCGCUUCGAGGAGAAUGCAUUCCCCUGCCGACAAAAGCGAUUGACGCUGCAGGUCCCAGACCUGCCAGAAGGAGUCACUUUUGACCAACAAGACAUGACAGCAGCGUCAGAAUUUCUAGACGGCCACGGCCAUCGUCGCUUUUCGCUCUGACCGUGAUGCCCCGAAAAUCAUGGUACACCCUACGCCCACCAUCGCGGUCAUCUGUUUUUUCGUAAGUUUGUAGUUCGCAACUGAGAACAACCACAAGAACGGACUACAUACAGCAACUCCUGUCUGGUUUGGGUGAGUCCAAGGUGAAGACGUCUCCUCCAACGUCCCUGUUGUCGCGCUGCUCAUUUGGCCUGGAAGUAUUUGCCAGCACAUCCACACUGGGAUGAAAACACAUUCACCUACCAGUGACAACGACGGAGCUUGCAGUGCCCCAACCCACCACAUGAGUCGCUGGCGAGUCGCUGUAAUCCGGUUCGACACCAACCUUGCUGUAGUUCUGCUCUCCUGAGAAACACAUUUGCAUCAUGGGUACUGCUAAGAAAGCUUCCUGUGUAUCGGUCACCUGGGAGCAGUGUGCACAAUCCUGGCCAUGUUAAUAACAAGAUGUACAUUAGUGCUGCUGAACGGCUUGGAGACAAUCAACAUCCCAGCUUCCUGGGGCAACCAACACACUUUAAUCAGUGCUUGACAUGGACUGAAAGAGCUGUCCACUGUCGGGAAUCCCGGGGCUCGGGACAGAAUAUUCCCUAAAGGGCACAGUUCGUUGGGCUGAGCGGUGGUGGGAAGGAUUCAAACCCACGCUUUAGCAAUAUACUC